RNAcentral lists this ribosomal RNA (2775 nucleotides) under Salmonella enterica subsp. enterica serovar Chester. Its description in RNAcentral is "bacterial LSU rRNA". It matches the Rfam family "Bacterial large subunit ribosomal RNA". The record is from RNAcentral. Lineage: Bacteria; Pseudomonadati; Pseudomonadota; Gammaproteobacteria; Enterobacterales; Enterobacteriaceae.
AGCGUACACGGUGGAUGCCCUGGCAGUCAGAGGCGAUGAAGGACGUGCUAAUCUGCGAUAAGCGCCGGUAAGGUGAUAUGAACCGUUAUAACCGGCGAUUUCCGAAUGGGGAAACCCAGUGUGACUCGUCACACUAUCAUUAACUGAAUCCAUAGGUUAAUGAGGCGAACCGGGGGAACUGAAACAUCUAAGUACCCCGAGGAAAAGAAAUCAACCGAGAUUCCCCCAGUAGCGGCGAGCGAACGGGGAGGAGCCCAGAGCCUGAAUCAGCAUGUGUGUUAGUGGAAGCGUCUGGAAAGGCGCGCGAUACAGGGUGACAGCCCCGUACACAAAAGCGCAUGUGCUGUGAGCUCGAUGAGUAGGGCGGGACACGUGGUAUCCUGUCUGAAUAUGGGGGGACCAUCCUCCAAGGCUAAAUACUCCUGACUGACCGAUAGUGAACCAGUACCGUGAGGGAAAGGCGAAAAGAACCCCGGCGAGGGGAGUGAAAAAGAACCUGAAACCGUGUACGUACAAGCAGUGGGAGCACCCUUUGGGGUGUGACUGCGUACCUUUUGUAUAAUGGGUCAGCGACUUAUAUUCUGUAGCAAGGUUAACCGAAUAGGGGAGCCGGAGGGAAACCGAGUCUUAAUUGGGCGUUAAGUUGCAGGGUAUAGACCCGAAACCCGGUGAUCUAGCCAUGGGCAGGUUGAAGGUUGGGUAACACUAACUGGAGGACCGAACCGACUAAUGUUGAAAAAUUAGCGGAUGACCUGUGGCUGGGGGUGAAAGGCCAAUCAAACCGGGAGAUAGCUGGUUCUCCCCGAAAGCUAUUUAGGUAGCGCCUCGUGAAUUCAUCUCCGGGGGUAGAGCACUGUUUCGGCUAGGGGGCCAUCCCGGCUUACCAACCCGAUGCAAACUGCGAAUACCGGAGAAUGUUAUCACGGGAGACACACGGCGGGUGCUAACGUCCGUCGUGAAGAGGGAAACAACCCAGACCGCCAGCUAAGGUCCCAAAGUCAUGGUUAAGUGGGAAACGAUGUGGGAAGGCCCAGACAGCCAGGAUGUUGGCUUAGAAGCAGCCAUCAUUUAAAGAAAGCGUAAUAGCUCACUGGUCGAGUCGGCCUGCGCGGAAGAUGUAACGGGGCUAAACCAUGCACCGAAGCUGCGGCAGCGACGCUGAUGCGUUGUUGGGUAGGGGAGCGUUCUGUAAGCCUGCGAAGGUGGCCUGUGAGGGUUGCUGGAGGUAUCAGAAGUGCGAAUGCUGACAUAAGUAACGAUAAAGCGGGUGAAAAGCCCGCUCGCCGGAAGACCAAGGGUUCCUGUCCAACGUUAAUCGGGGCAGGGUGAGUCGACCCCUAAGGCGAGGCCGAAAGGCGUAGUCGAUGGGAAACGGGUUAAUAUUCCCGUACUUGGUGUUACUGCGAAGGGGGGACGGAGAAGGCUAUGUUGGCCGGGCGACGGUUGUCCCGGUUUAAGCGUGUAGGUGUGUGUUCCAGGUAAAUCCGGUUCACUUUAACACUGAGGCGUGAUGACGAGGCACUACGGUGCUGAAGCAACAAAUGCCCUGCUUCCAGGAAAAGCCUCUAAGCAUCAGGUAACAUCAAAUCGUACCCCAAACCGACACAGGUGGUCAGGUAGAGAAUACCAAGGCGCUUGAGAGAACUCGGGUGAAGGAACUAGGCAAAAUGGUGCCGUAACUUCGGGAGAAGGCACGCUGACACGUAGGUGAAGUGAUUUACUCAUGGAGCUGAAGUCAGUCGAAGAUACCAGCUGGCUGCAACUGUUUAUUAAAAACACAGCACUGUGCAAACACGAAAGUGGACGUAUACGGUGUGACGCCUGCCCGGUGCCGGAAGGUUAAUUGAUGGGGUCAGCGCAAGCGAAGCUCCUGAUCGAAGCCCCGGUAAACGGCGGCCGUAACUAUAACGGUCCUAAGGUAGCGAAAUUCCUUGUCGGGUAAGUUCCGACCUGCACGAAUGGCGUAAUGAUGGCCAGGCUGUCUCCACCCGAGACUCAGUGAAAUUGAACUCGCUGUGAAGAUGCAGUGUACCCGCGGCAAGACGGAAAGACCCCGUGAACCUUUACUAUAGCUUGACACUGAACAUUGAGCCUUGAUGUGUAGGAUAGGUGGGAGGCUUUGAAGUGUGGACGCCAGUCUGCAUGGAGCCGACCUUGAAAUACCACCCUUUAAUGUUUGAUGUUCUAACGUGGACCCGUGAUCCGGGUUGCGGACAGUGUCUGGUGGGUAGUUUGACUGGGGCGGUCUCCUCCUAAAGAGUAACGGAGGAGCACGAAGGUUGGCUAAUCCUGGUCGGACAUCAGGAGGUUAGUGCAAUGGCAUAAGCCAGCUUGACUGCGAGCGUGACGGCGCGAGCAGGUGCGAAAGCAGGUCAUAGUGAUCCGGUGGUUCUGAAUGGAAGGGCCAUCGCUCAACGGAUAAAAGGUACUCCGGGGAUAACAGGCUGAUACCGCCCAAGAGUUCAUAUCGACGGCGGUGUUUGGCACCUCGAUGUCGGCUCAUCACAUCCUGGGGCUGAAGUAGGUCCCAAGGGUAUGGCUGUUCGCCAUUUAAAGUGGUACGCGAGCUGGGUUUAGAACGUCGUGAGACAGUUCGGUCCCUAUCUGCCGUGGGCGCUGGAGAACUGAGGGGGGCUGCUCCUAGUACGAGAGGACCGGAGUGGACGCAUCACUGGUGUUCGGGUUGUCAUGCCAAUGGCACUGCCCGGUAGCUAAAUGCGGAAGAGAUAAGUGCUGAAAGCAUCUAAGCACGAAACUUGCCCCGAGAUGAGUUCU